RNAcentral lists this microRNA precursor (53 nucleotides) under Marmota monax (woodchuck). The record is from RNAcentral. Lineage: Eukaryota; Metazoa; Chordata; Mammalia; Rodentia; Sciuridae.
UCUUUACUAUUAAGUGUGUCCCAUUCAAUAACUGGGAUAUACUUAUAAUAAAA